RNAcentral lists this long non-coding RNA (1186 nucleotides) under Helianthus annuus (common sunflower). RNAcentral describes it as "hypothetical non coding rna". Lineage: Eukaryota; Viridiplantae; Streptophyta; Magnoliopsida; Asterales; Asteraceae. The record is from RNAcentral.
AAACAAAGAUAAAUUAAAAUAAAUAAGGGGCUAGUGGUUUGGGUCAUGACCACACCCUUAGGAUAGUGGUUUUGGAUGGUGGAAUAGAGGUGGGUUACAUGGCACUAACAUGGAGGGUCAUGAUGGUCAUAAGGGUCAUGACCACACCCUAUAGCCUAACAAUACACCUAAGAAGAAAAUAAGGAUCAGAAGCAUGGAAUCUUCAAAUCAAUAAAAGCAAGAAGAAAAUAAGGAAGUUAAAGUUACCUAAAAACUUGGCAAGAAGUAUCCAUUGAAUGACACAACGAAAACAAUCUUCCCUGUUGUCAAGGAAAAAAACACUAAUCAAAUUUCACAUAUCUUAGAUCUGUAAGUUGCUUCAUCGAAACAUAAGUCAAAAUCAAAACACAAACUUGACAAACCAACUUAUCAAUCCAUUCUUGGUGUUAGGACAAUCGAACACCACCGAUUGAUAUGAACACCGCCCUCUAGAUGCACCACAACCUAUUGUGCUUGUCGGAUGCGUUCCCCUUUUUCAUAAACACUAAUAUUUGAAGUCCCAAAAAAGCCUAACUUGUUAGAUAUGAAUACAUGGAACGCCCACUUUGACUAUAAAAGAAUACAUACAUACCUGGUUCAGGAAAGCAGGUUCUCACCGGAGCUAAGCUGACUCGUCGGAACCCUAAAACUUUCAGAUCUCUCACCGGCAGAGAUCCCGACACCCGUGGUGUCGUCUGUUCAUGUUGAUCCCGACACCCGUGGUACCGUAAUUUUGCCCGACCUUCACCGGAACCCUAGCAUCUUCUCUACGCCGCUAAUCACCACCGGAACCGCACCCUGAUUCCGUCACCACCGGAACCGCACCGUGAAUCCGGCACCACCACACACUGAUAAUUUCUCUAGUCACCACCACACCACCAGUGAUAGGCAACGCCGCCGUUCCGACACACACCGUUCUCUCUCUCCUUUCUGAUCUCUCUCAUCGUUCUCUCUCCAUGUAAUCGGCGGUGUGUGUGGAGGUGGAGUAGGUUUAGGGUUUGCUUGAAUCACUUAUCAGACGUGGAGGAGAGGUGUACCUCUAUUUACUGAUAUGCCCUCUAUUUACUGUUCAUUCAAAGCUCCUUUCCAUUGGGUUAACCUCAGAUUUCCUUUAGUAGCUCUCUCUUUUUUCUUUUAUAAAUCUUACACUGCUAUUGCUUUAAUUUAA